This is a non-coding RNA of Oryza sativa Japonica Group (Japanese rice), 3195 nucleotides long. The record is from RefSeq and is a predicted model, not a curated record. NCBI's taxonomy places the organism in Eukaryota, Viridiplantae, Streptophyta, Magnoliopsida, Poales, Poaceae.
AUAGGUCGCGUCGCAGCAACCCAUAUUCUCACAAGGGCCCACCUGUCCGACCUUUUGUCCUCCUCGUGAGUUCCGGCCUCGCAUCGCCGCCGCCGCCGCCGCCGUAGCAACAAAACGCAAUUAGAACGCGAGCGAAGAUGGAUUCGACCUCUACAAGCCCGAGGGGAUUGCCACUAAUCACCAGCAACGGAGCGGCCAAGCAGUCCAACCGCGCCACGCUCAUUGGGAUUGUAAAUUGUGAUUUGUGCAUGGUUCCGGUUUAUUUAUGAGCUCCGACUUCAAUUCUUUCGUCCAGAAACAAUAUUGAGGUAUUUUUUACAACCUUAACACAUUUUUAAUGUUUAUCGUCAUUAGCUAUGUCUAAUCUAGUUUUGCUAGCUCAACUGAAUCAUUAAUCAUGAAUGCAGUCAAUACACUGGUCAUAUCUAUAUGAUGUUCAAUCAUUCAUGUUAGUAAUGACGUAAUCAUCAGCGGCUAUAUACUGUAGAUUAGCAGUUCUGCACGGGAGAUAUUUUUGACAACUGUAUUAAUAGCAGAGGAAUUAAAAAUAAAAGAGAGAAAAUGAAUGAUCUGAUGUGGAAUGCCGGGUGUUGAGCAUAUUUACCCAAAGCGGUAUAUAAAGGAAACUGCUUUUUGCAGCCACUCCCAUUCUUCUGGCCAUCGCCGAUCAUGCCUUUCGGGCAAACACACGAAGUAACUCCUUGCUCAUCCUUGCAGGAUUUUGAGUACGUGCAAGGGUUCAAUUCUCUGCACACAUCUAGGCCUAAUAAUAGUAAAUUGCAUGCAAUUAGGAGAUGUUUUCCAAAUGAAAAAUGAUUAGGCCGCUACUGGUUCAUUAUUAGAUGUUGUAAACAAGAUUUCGAACGUUCUCCCGGUACAUUGAACAAAUAAUAAUUUCCUGAUUAGAAAGACUGCACUUAAAAUGCUCUUCUGUGUGGUGAACAAAGCACUUUGUUUUAUGAUACCUUGCGGUUGGUUGUGGGUAGGGGCGCCUGCAUGAGAGAGAGAAUAUAUGAUCUUGGUCAGAUCAUCACGCAUUAUUACGAGUAACUAUUGCAGAAUUUUUUUAGAGAAGAAAUAUUACAGCGUAAUCCAGCCAUAUAUAGGAGAUGCAUACAAUAUCAUUUUAGCGUUUCAACCGGAAGAAAUAUAUCAAUUCAUAUUGACAUUUCUUUAAGUAAAAAGGGAACAAAGCUCCUAUCACCCAGGCAAUCCUAAGUUCAUGCAUAGUCACGUUAAAAGGAACAAAAUUCUUACUGUGGUAUUUAUUGGUAGUAGAAUCAAUUUAGACCUUUCAUCUUUUCUCAUCCAAUCAAACAUAAAAGUACCCAGGAAGAACCGUUUAAAAGCUUUUUUUUUUUUUGAGUUUUCCAACUUAUCUCAAAAUUGGUCUAGAAAUAACACGUGGUGAUUAAUAUGGUUGUUUGAACAGAAAUUCUAGAAUAAGUAGGAUUAUAUGCAAUCUAAAAAAAUAUCCCAUUAUCUUAAACAAAAGCAGUCGGAAAAAAUAUAUGGCAUGUAUUUACCAGGUGGCCGAUGGGAGUCAAUGCACCCUGUCCCUGUCCUGUAGCCAUCACCAGUCUUAUUAUUGGGGCAAGAGCAAGUAUAUCCUCCGGGAGUGUUAUGACAGAGUACGCUACAGUUGUUGUAAAUGAGAGACCGGCAUUCGUUGAUAUCUUCAUAAAUAGUGUGAAGCCACAUUGAGAAAGCAGAAAAAUACAGUUCUAUUCAUAGCAGUUAGCUAAGUUCUAUGGUAAUUGAAUUCUGCCAUGAUACAAACAGAAAGAAACUAUAACAAACUGUUUUCACUAGCUAGUGCAUAUUUUUUAGAUCACUGUGUUUAGAAGUAUCUACUAUUUACCUUGGCAGCCGCCUGCCUCGUAUGGAUUCCCGUUGUGUUGGUCGUACCCUGCUUUGCAUCUGCACACGUAGCCCUCUCCCAUGAACCUGUCCAUGCAUGAGCUCUCGUUGUUGCAGCGGUACUGUGUCUUGAAGCUGUUGUUCCGGGCUUGCUCACAGGUGGCGCGCCCAAUCACCCAGUCCAAGACCAUCCUUCGCUCACCCAAAGGCACCAGAACGUCUUCCAGAUGCACUGGCUUGCUGUCACCGCCGCCGGCUCUGAAGAUGUGCUCUUCUUGGUGGAGAUGCAUUGGCUUGCUGUUACCGCUGACUUUGAAGAUCUGCUCUUUUUGGUAGAGGAUGAAGGCUGCGCUGCAGGUGCCGGCCACGCUCGCCGAUGUCUUGUUGAACUCGAAGGUGACCUCCUGCGCGUCGUCCAACGGCAUGCCGUAGGCGUCGCAGCAGGCCGUCCCGGGGCACAAUCCGUCAGAGUUUACUCUGCCGUUGGUUGUGCAGCUUCCGUUAGUAGACCAACCAUGAUGGUGUAGCGAGCUGGUGAAGGUAGCAGUAAAGUUGGAGUAACAGCCGGUGGCGACGAGCGUGUUGCGCUUGGAGAAGAAGAACGGCGUGUCCGUCAAAUUCGUCGGCCCGAUUCCGGUGCUCCCCACGACCGGCCGGCCGUUGCGAUCGUAGCACAACCGGUAGAUGGGGCCUGCAAAUAUGACGACGAAACCUUCCUGCGAAGACACCUGAUCGAUUCGAAAUUUUUGAUGGCCAAUGCGGAGCAUGGCAGCACUGUCGUUUUUCCGGCAUGUUACCCUGAAGCCAGGGGCAGAUUUGCCUUUUAAGCCGAAGGGAUAAGGGACUUCGUCGCACGACAGGUUCUUCGUCGUCGUCAGCUGCGAGUUUCCCUCUAGAGGCGGCCACUGAUUCUCCCGUCCCCGGGAGAGCGUGACGUGAGGCAUCGCCGAGAAGACGGCGAGCGCCAGCACCAGUGGGGUGAGAGGCCAUGCAGCCACAGCAGGAUCAGCUGCAGCUGCAGCGGCCGGUGUGCUUGCUCUUCUGCACGGCAUGUCGUCGCGCCUUUGCUUGCUGUUCUCCUUCUCGGUGGUGCAUACAGCAUAGACGAGCGCCGAGAGAAGCUAUGUUGGGAGUGUGAACUGUGAAGGGGUCAUUGUCGCCGAAAGCGUGCUAAUUCUCUUGUGGCUACUGGCUACAUGUUGGUUUUAAAUUUUUAAUUGUUUCUCAGAUUAACCUGGAACUUCUAUGUAUUCUCAUGAGACUGAAAAAACUUUUACUCCCCCCAAUUUUUUUCAGAUGUUCUAUAAUACAAGACAUAUAUGCAAUUAACUAGCA